This 491-nucleotide ribosomal RNA is filed under the name uncultured bacterium. RNAcentral's name for it is "SSU rRNA". It matches the Rfam family "Bacterial small subunit ribosomal RNA", at positions 26 to 518 of the family's 1533-position model. The record is from RNAcentral.
AGGACGAACGCUGGCGGCGUGCUUAACACAUGCAAGUGGAGCGACGAACCGGGGCUUGCCCCGGGGCAGAGCCGCGAACGGGUGAGUAACACGUGGGUUACCUACCCCAAUGACCGGGACAACCCGAGGAAACUCGAGCUAAUACCGGAUGUGGUCUUCGGACGAAAGGAAGCUUCGGCCUCCGCAUUGGGAUGGGCCCGCGGCGCAUUAGCUUGUUGGUGGGGUAACGGCCUACCAAUGCGACGAUGCGUAGCUGGUCUGAGAGGACGAUCAGCCACACUGGGACUGAGACACGGCCCAGACUCCUACGGGAGGCAGCAGUGGGGAAUCUUGCGCAAUGCGCGAAAGCGUGACGCAGCAACGCCGCGUGGGGGAAGAAGGCCUUCGGGUUGUAAACCUCUUUCAGUUGGACGAAGCCUUGCGGGUUAAUAGCCCGUGGAGGUGACGGUACCUUCAGAAGGAGCCCCGGCUAACUACGUGCCAGCAGCCGC